RNAcentral lists this ribosomal RNA (255 nucleotides) under uncultured bacterium. Its description in RNAcentral is "partial 16S ribosomal RNA". It matches the Rfam family "Bacterial small subunit ribosomal RNA", at positions 99 to 354 of the family's 1533-position model. The record is from RNAcentral.
CGGACGGGUGAGUAACGCGUGGAAAACCUGCCGUAUACUGGGGGAUAACACUUAGAAAUAGGUGCUAAUACCGCAUAAGCGCACAGCUUCGCAUGAAGCGGUGUGAAAAACUCUGGUGGUAUACGAUGGUUCCGCGUCUGAUUAGCUAGUUGGUGGGGUAAUGGCCUACCAAGGCAACGAUCAGUAGCCGGCCUGAGAGGAUGAACGGCCACAUUGGGACUGAGACACGGCCCAAACUCCUACGGAAGGCAGCAG